CACGUAGGUGGCGACGUAAGUCGGGUGUGAAAGCCCCGGGCUCAACCUGGGAAUUGCAUUCGAGACUGCGUUGCUGGAGUACGGAAGAGGAGGGCGGAAUUCCCGGUGUAGCGGUGAAAUGCGUAGAUAUCGGGAGGAACAUCAGUGGCGAAGGCGGCCCUCUGGUCCAGUACUGACACUCAAGUGCGAAAGCGUGGGGAGCAAACA
This 207-nucleotide ribosomal RNA is filed under the name uncultured bacterium. Its description in RNAcentral is "partial 16S ribosomal RNA". It matches the Rfam family "Bacterial small subunit ribosomal RNA", at positions 568 to 774 of the family's 1533-position model. The record is from RNAcentral.